Molecule: ribosomal RNA, 771 nt
Filed under: uncultured bacterium
Lineage: Bacteria
Description: bacterial SSU rRNA
Rfam family: Bacterial small subunit ribosomal RNA
Source: RNAcentral
AGAGUUUGAUCAUGGCUCAGAAUCAACGCUGGCGGCGUGCCUAACACAUGCAAGUCGAACGAGAAAGUGGAGCAAUCCAUGAGUAGAGUGGCGUACGGGUGAGUAACACGUGACUAACCUUCCUUCGAGUGGGGAAUAACCUCGGGAAACCAGGGCUAAUACCGCAUAACAUCGUCGGGUGAAACUCCCGAUGAUCAAAGGGGUAAGACGCUUGAAGAGGGGGUCGCGGCUGAUUAGUUAGUUGGCGGGGUAAUGGCCCACCAAGACGAUGAUCAGUAUCCGGCCUGAGAGGGCGCACGGACACACUGGAACUGAAACACGGUCCAGACUCCUACGGGAGGCAGCAGUGGGGAAUUUUGCGCAAUGGGGGAAACCCUGACGCAGCAACGCCGCGUGGAGGAUUAAGUCCCUUGGGAUGUAAACUCCUUUCGACAGGGAAGAAACUGACGGUACCUGUAGAAGAAGCCCCGGCUAACUUCGUGCCAGCAGCCGCGGUAAUACGAGGGGGGCAAGCGUUGUUCGGAAUUAUUGGGCGUAAAGGGUGCGUAGGCUGUGCGGUAAGUCACCUGUGAAAUCUCCGAGCUCAACUCGGAGCCUGCAGGCGAAACUGCCGUGCUGGAGUAUGGGAGAGGUGCGUGGAAUUCCCGGUGUAGCGGUGAAAUGCGUAGAUAUCGGGAGGAACACCUGUGGCGAAAGCGGCGCACUGGACCAUUACUGACGCUGAUGCACGAGAGCUAGGGGAGCAAACAGGAUUAGAUACCCUAGUAGUCC